RNAcentral lists this ribosomal RNA (760 nucleotides) under Prevotella melaninogenica. RNAcentral's name for it is "bacterial SSU rRNA". It matches the Rfam family "Bacterial small subunit ribosomal RNA", at positions 28 to 776 of the family's 1533-position model. Lineage: Bacteria; Pseudomonadati; Bacteroidota; Bacteroidia; Bacteroidales; Prevotellaceae. The record is from RNAcentral.
GAUGAACGCUAGCUACAGGCUUAACACAUGCAAGUCGAGGGGAAACGGCAUUUAGUGCUUGCACCGAAUGGACGUCGACCGGCGCACGGGUGAGUAACGCGUAUCCAACCUACCCAUUACUGUGGGAUAACCUGCCGAAAGGCAGACUAAUACCGCAUAGUCUUCGAUGACGGCAUCAGAUUUGAAGUAAAGAUUUAUCGGUAAUGGAUGGGGAUGCGUCUGAUUAGCUUGUUGGCGGGGUAACGGCCCACCAAGGCAACGAUCAGUAGGGGUUCUGAGAGGAAGGUCCCCCACAUUGGAACUGAGAUACGGUCCAAACUCCUACGGGAGGCAGCAGUGAGGAAUAUUGGUCAAUGGGCGCGAGCCUGAACCAGCCAAGUAGCGUGCAGGAUGACGGCCCUAUGGGUUGUAAACUGCUUUUGUAUGGGGAUAAAGUCAAUCACGUGUGAUUGUUUGCAGGUACCAUACGAAUAAGGACCGGCUAAUUCCGUGCCAGCAGCCGCGGUAAUACGGAAGGUCCGGGCGUUAUCCGGAUUUAUUGGGUUUAAAGGGAGCGUAGGCCGGAGAUUAAGUGUGUUGUGAAAUGUAGACGCUCAACGUCUGACUUGCAGCGCAUACUGGUUUCCUUGAGUACGCACAACGUUGGCGGAAUUCGUCGUGUAGCGGUGAAAUGCUUAGAUAUGACGAAGAACUCCGAUUGCGAAGGCAGCUGACGGGAGCGCAACUGACGCUAAGCUCGAAGGUGCGGGUAUCGAACAGG